Molecule: ribosomal RNA, 253 nt
Filed under: uncultured bacterium
Lineage: Bacteria
Description: partial 16S ribosomal RNA
Rfam family: Bacterial small subunit ribosomal RNA
Source: RNAcentral
GACAGAGGGUGCAAACGUUGUUCGGAAUUACUGGGCGUAAAGCGAGUGUAGGCGGUCUCGUAAGUCGGGUGUGAAAGCCCCGGGCUCAACCCGGGAAGUGCACUCGAAACUGCGAGGCUAGAGUAUCGGAGAGGUUGGUGGAAUUCUCGGUGUAGAGGUGAAAUUCGUAGAUAUCGAGAGGAACACCGGUGGCGAAGGCGGCGACCUGGUCCGAUACUGACGCUGAGGCGCGAAAGCGUGGGGAGCAAACAGG